Molecule: ribosomal RNA, 253 nt
Filed under: uncultured bacterium
Lineage: Bacteria
Description: partial 16S ribosomal RNA
Rfam family: Bacterial small subunit ribosomal RNA
Source: RNAcentral
UACGUAGGGGGCAAGCGUUGUCCGGAAUCAUUGGGCGUAAAGCGCGUGUAGGCGGUCCGAUAAGUCGGCUGUGAAAGUCCAGGGCUCAACCCUCGAAUGCCGGUGGAUACUGUCGGGCUAGAGUACGGAAGAGGCGAGUGGAAUUCCUGGUGUAGCGGUGAAAUGCGCAGAUAUCAGGAGGAACACCAAUUGCGAAGGCAGCUCGCUGGGACGUUACUGACGCUGAGACGCGAAAGCGUGGGGAUCAAACAGG